Long non-coding RNA from Mustela erminea (ermine), 374 nucleotides. RefSeq lists it as uncharacterized. The record is from RefSeq and is a predicted model, not a curated record. NCBI's taxonomy places the organism in Eukaryota, Metazoa, Chordata, Mammalia, Carnivora, Mustelidae. The transcript is spliced from 4 exons.
UCUCAAAUGAGCUACAUCAUUUCUUAUGCAUCCUACAGAGAUAAUCACCAAAGAGUGAAUUUUGGCUGAUAGACACUGAUGCCUGGAAGACCAAUCAAAAUGAAGAGCCAGAGUCAAGAUCCUGAUUCCCUUCCUGCCAUCACGUCCAAAGUAGCCUUUUUCAUGCAUCCAGCCUAGCUUGUUGCAUAGAAGAGAAAAAAUAAGAGUUCACCAGCCCUCUGAGAACUGUAUUUAACUCAGCCUCAGCCAUCAUAAAAGAGCUCAGAUGUUGUGGUGGAAAGAGUACCAGAUUCAGAAUCAUCCUUAACAGAAAUCGAUACCUGGGUCACUAUAAAGGAGACUUGCUUUCAACACUGGUCAUCUCACCAGGGAGG